UGGCUCAAUUGGUAGAGCAUGGUGUUUGCAACACCAGGGUUGUGGGUUCAAUUCCCAC
RNAcentral lists this transfer RNA (58 nucleotides) under Salmo salar (Atlantic salmon). It matches the Rfam family "tRNA", at positions 8 to 63 of the family's 71-position model. From Rfam's summary of the family: Transfer RNA (tRNA) molecules are approximately 80 nucleotides in length. Their secondary structure includes four short double-helical elements and three loops (D, anti-codon, and T loops). Further hydrogen bonds mediate the characteristic L-shaped molecular structure. tRNAs have two regions of fundamental functional importance: the anti-codon, which is responsible for specific mRNA codon recognition, and the 3' end, to which the tRNAs corresponding amino acid is attached (by aminoacyl-tRNA synthetases). tRNAs cope with the degeneracy of the genetic code in two manners: having more than one tRNA (with a specific anti-codon) for a particular amino acid; and 'wobble' base-pairing, i.e. permitting non-standard base-pairing at the 3rd anti-codon position. Lineage: Eukaryota; Metazoa; Chordata; Actinopteri; Salmoniformes; Salmonidae. The record is from Rfam by way of RNAcentral. RNAcentral also lists the same sequence under 1 other name.